GGUUAAAAUUUUCAUCUAUUUUACUAUUAAAAUUGGCAUGGCUGAUUGAAUAACCACGUGUUUCUCAUACUAACAUAUAAAGAUUAUUUUUUAACGGUAAAAAUAGAUUGAAUUUUUUAAUA
Molecule: microRNA precursor, 122 nt
Filed under: Gossypium hirsutum (cotton)
Lineage: Eukaryota; Viridiplantae; Streptophyta; Magnoliopsida; Malvales; Malvaceae
Description: MIR7502 microRNA precursor family
Rfam family: MIR7502 microRNA precursor family
Source: Rfam by way of RNAcentral